UAGUCCACGCCGUAAACGAUGUCAACUAGCCGUUGGGUCCAUUUAAGGGCUUAGUGGCGCAGCUAACGCGAUAAGUUGACCGCCUGGGGAGUACGCCGGCAACGGUAAAACUCAAAUGAAUUGACGGGGGCCCGCACAAGCGGUGGAGCAUGUGGUUUAAUUCGAUGCAACGCGAAAAACCUUACCUACCCUUGACAUCCUCAGAACUUGCUAGAGAUAACUUGGUGCCUUCGGGAAUUGAGUGACAGGUGCUGCAUGGCUGUCGUCAGCUCGUGUCGUGAGAUGUUGGGUUAAGUCCCGCAACGAGCGCAACCCUUAUCCUUAGUUGCCAGCACAUUAUGGUGGAACUCUAUUCAGACUGCCUACGUAAGUAGCGAGGAAGGCGGGGAUGACGUCAAAUCAUCAUGGCCUUUAUGCCUAGGGCGACACACGUGCUACAAUGGCCGGUACAGAGGGCAGCCAACCCGCGAGGGGGAGCCGAAUCCCAGAAACGCCGGUCCCAGUUCGAA
This 509-nucleotide ribosomal RNA is filed under the name uncultured bacterium. RNAcentral's name for it is "bacterial SSU rRNA". It matches the Rfam family "Bacterial small subunit ribosomal RNA", at positions 791 to 1297 of the family's 1533-position model. The record is from RNAcentral.